This is a long non-coding RNA of Poeciliopsis prolifica (blackstripe livebearer), 741 nucleotides long. RefSeq lists it as uncharacterized. NCBI's taxonomy places the organism in Eukaryota, Metazoa, Chordata, Actinopteri, Cyprinodontiformes, Poeciliidae. The transcript is spliced from 6 exons. The record is from RefSeq and is a predicted model, not a curated record.
AGAAGAGAAAUGUUAGCUGGCAAAGGAAAAGGUCAGCAUCUGAGUGUCGUAUUUUCUACAUCACAGGUGCAGACUGUUAGACUAUGUCCAAUCAGAGUCAGUUCUUGGUGUGGAGCCACCUCAGGGACAGCUUUUUCAAUUAGCUUGGAUCAUUUGACACAAUGCAAUGCGAAAAUGAACCACAAGAGCUUGAAAAGUAAUAAAUAUUCAAACUGAGUCUGCUGGACUCUCCGGUGUGAAAACACACUUACUAGCUUGCUUUGUGGAAGCUACUGAAGUCCAGAGGACAGGCAGCAGAGACGGAUGAAAGUACAGAACAUAGGAAACUUUCCCCAAACAGACCAACUACAUGGAAGAUGAAAGCGAGCGCUGCCACUGGCUGUGAACUCCCCUGGACAUGAACAUACUACUGCUUUGGAUUUAGGUUCAUCAUCUGUAAGGAUUACAACACUGAGUUUUAUCUGCUGCAUUUCAGUUCCUACCGUCAAUCUUGCCCCAGGCUAUGCUGACGACACCUCGACUCCUGAGAAAAAAACACUAAAGAUUUUACAAAAACCGCCUUUACGCAGAUCCAAAGAUGGAUUCAGGUGAAGCAACACUCCUUAAAGUUAGGUACGUACUCUCAGUAUGAAGAAUGAAUAUUUCUGUGGCACUGAGUUUUGAAACCAUCUUUUUCACUUUUAUUGUGGACCUAAUCAUUGUCAUUUUACAAUGAUUUUACAAAAGUUUUGGACUUUUGAC